This 63-nucleotide transfer RNA is filed under the name Dorcus tenuihirsutus. RNAcentral's name for it is "tRNA-Thr". RNAcentral also lists the same sequence under 1 other name. The record is from RNAcentral. Lineage: Eukaryota; Metazoa; Arthropoda; Insecta; Coleoptera; Lucanidae.
GUUUUAAUAAUUUAAAUAAAAUAUUGGUCUUGUAAACCAAAAAUAAGAAAAUCUUUUAAAACU